This 264-nucleotide ribosomal RNA is filed under the name Triticum aestivum (bread wheat). RNAcentral describes it as "partial small subunit ribosomal RNA". The record is from RNAcentral. Lineage: Eukaryota; Viridiplantae; Streptophyta; Magnoliopsida; Poales; Poaceae.
AUGAGACUCCAGUUUGACAGGGACGCGGAGGAGAACUAUGAGGAGAAGCGGACAAGAAUAAGUAGACUACUUUACAAAGCAAACUUAGCUAUUGAGCGACAUGCUGGGAAGAUAUACACGCGGGCUAUGUUUGAGCAGUUCGGGCACAUACUGUAUGAGUGCGGCGCAUACCAGGUGGAAGAGCUCGAGAAGGGGAACUUUACCUUGCCAUACAUACAGAUGCAGCGAGGAGGGAAAAGUGGUGCAGAGUGUCAUACAAGGUAA